RNAcentral lists this non-coding RNA (36 nucleotides) under Trypanosoma vivax. Lineage: Eukaryota; Euglenozoa; Kinetoplastea; Trypanosomatida; Trypanosomatidae. The record is from RNAcentral.
AAUGCAAACCAAAGAACAUAUAGCAAGGAAGAUAGU